CCGCGAGCGGACGCGGCAGCGCCUCUGUCUCGCUUUUUCUUAUUUUUCCCCCCUUUCCCCUUUCUUUUUUUUUUUUUCUUUUCUUUUCUCCCCUCCCCCCCUUUCACCAUUUCCCCUCGGAGGCGCUUUCCCCGGGCAGGGGCAGAGCCGGUCUCACCCCCCGCCUCUCCCCGGCCCCCGCCGCCCUAUGGCGAGAGGGAGCCCCCUCCCAACCCGGGCUCGAGCGGCGGCGGCCUCAGGCCGGGGGUCAUCAUGGAACUAAUUCGCUGACCGACCCAGCGGCCGCAGCCGUGCGUCCCGCUCGAGCGCCAGCGCCCGCGCCCGCGCCCCCCGAUCCGCUUCCCCUUUCUCCCUCCUCAGUUGGCCGAGUCGUCCCGCGCGCACCGCCUCCGCGCGCCUAUGAGAAUGAGGUGGUAACGGGCCCCCGGAUGACCCCGCGUCACCACUGUGAGGCCUACAGCUCUGCCGGGGAGGAGGAGGAGGAGGAAGAGGAGGAGAAGGUAGCUACAGCAAGCUGGGUAGCAGGCAGAUCCAAAGGAUAUCAUGAAGUUUCCAGGGCCUUUGGAAAACCAGAGAUUGUCUUUCCUGUUGGAAAAGGCAAUCACUAGGGAAGCACAGAUGUGGAAAGUGAAUGUGCGGAAAAUGCCUUCAAAUCAGAAUGUUUCUCCAUCCCAGAGAGAUGAAGUAAUUCAAUGGCUGGCCAAACUCAAGUACCAAUUCAACCUUUACCCAGAAACAUUUGCUCUGGCUAGCAGUCUUUUGGAUAGGUUUUUAGCUACCGUAAAGUUCCAUGCCAUUGCAGUGUCAACUAGGCCUCAGUUACUUUUCAGUUUGCCCAAAUUGAGCCCAUCUCAACAUUUGGCAGUCCUUACCAAGCAACUACUUCACUGUAUGGCCUGCAACCAACUUCUGCAAUUCAGAGGAUCCAUGCUUGCUCUGGCCAUGGUUAGUCUGGAAAUGGAGAAACUCAUUCCUGAUUGGCUUUCUCUUACAAUUGAACUGCUUCAGAAAGCACAGAUGGAUAGCUCCCAGUUGAUCCAUUGUCGGGAGCUUGUGGCACAUCACCUUUCUACUCUGCAGUCUUCCCUGCCUCUGAAUUCCGUUUAUGUCUACCGUCCCCUCAAGCACACCCUGGUGACCUGUGACAAAGGAGUGUUCAGAUUACAUCCCUCCUCUGUCCCAGGCCCAGACUUCUCCAAGGACAACAGCAAGCCAGAAGUGCCAGUCAGAGGUACAGCAGCCUUUUACCAUCAUCUCCCAGCUGCCAGUGGGUGCAAGCAGACCUCUACUAAACGCAAAGUAGAGGAAAUGGAAGUGGAUGACUUCUAUGAUGGAAUCAAACGGCUCUAUAAUGAAGAUAAUGUCUCAGAAAAUGUGGGUUCUGUGUGUGGCACUGAUUUAUCAAGACAAGAGGGACAUGCUUCCCCUUGUCCACCUUUGCAGCCUGUUUCUGUCAUGUAGUUUCAACAAGUGCUACCUUUGAGUGUAAACUAAGGUAGACUACUUUGGGAAUGAGAACAUGCAAAAUCAGGAAAGGCUGUAGAAGGAAAUAUACCUUAACAGGCUGAUUUGGAGUGAGCC
RNAcentral lists this long non-coding RNA (1581 nucleotides) under Homo sapiens (human). RNAcentral's name for it is "long non-coding RNA NONHSAT200104.1". The record is from RNAcentral. Lineage: Eukaryota; Metazoa; Chordata; Mammalia; Primates; Hominidae.